GGUAGCACAGAGAGCUUGCUCUCGGGUGACGAGCGGCGGACGGGUGAGUAAUGUCUGGGAAACUGCCUGAUGGAGGGGGAUAACUACUGGAAACGGUAGCUAAUACCGCAUAACGUCGCAAGACCAAAGUGGGGGACCUUCGGGCCUCAUGCCAUCAGAUGUGCCCAGAUGGGAUUAGCUAGUAGGUGGGGUAAUGGCUCACCUAGGCGACGAUCCCUAGCUGGUCUGAGAGGAUGACCAGCCACACUGGAACUGAGACACGGUCCAGACUCCUACGGGAGGCAGCAGUGGGGAAUAUUGCACAAUGGGCGCAAGCCUGAUGCAGCCAUGCCGCGUGUAUGAAGAAGGCCUUCGGGUUGUAAAGUACUUUCAGCGAGGAGGAAGGCGUUAAGGUUAAUAACCUUGGCGAUUGACGUUACUCGCAGAAGAAGCACCGGCUAACUCCGUGCCAGCAGCCGCGGUAAUACGGAGGGUGCAAGCGUUAAUCGGAAUUACUGGGCGUAAAGCGCACGCAGGCGGUCUGUCAAGUCGGAUGUGAAAUCCCCGGGCUCAACCUGGGAACUGCAUUCGAAACUGGCAGGCUAGAGUCUUGUAGAGGGGGGUAGAAUUCCAGGUGUAGCGGUGAAAUGCGUAGAGAUCUGGAGGAAUACCGGUGGCGAAGGCGGCCCCCUGGACAAAGACUGACGCUCAGGUGCGAAAGCGUGGGGAGCAAACAGGAUUAGAUACCCUGGUAGUCCACGCCGUAAACGAUGUCGACUUGGAGGUUGUGCCCUUGAGGCGUGGCUUCCGGAGCUAACGCGUUAAGUCGACCGCCUGGGGAGUACGGCCGCAAGGUUAAAACUCAAAUGAAUUGACGGGGGCCCGCACAAGCGGUGGAGCAUGUGGUUUAAUUCGAUGCAACGCGAAGAACCUUACCUACUCUUGACAUCCAGAGAACUUAGCAGAGAUGCUUUGGUGCCUUCGGGAACUCUGAGACAGGUGCUGCAUGGCUGUCGUCAGCUCGUGUUGUGAAAUGUUGGGUUAAGUCCCGCAACGAGCGCAACCCUUAUCCUUUGUUGCCAGCGGUCCGGCCGGGAACUCAAAGGAGACUGCCAGUGAUAAACUGGAGGAAGGUGGGGAUACGUCAAGUCAUCAUGGCCCUUACGAGUAGGGCUACACACGUGCUACAAUGGCAUAUACAAAGAGAAGCGACCUCGCGAGAGCAAGCGGACCUCAUAAAGUAUGUCGUAGUCCGGAUUGGAGUCUGCAACUC
RNAcentral lists this ribosomal RNA (1252 nucleotides) under uncultured Enterobacter sp. Its description in RNAcentral is "bacterial SSU rRNA". It matches the Rfam family "Bacterial small subunit ribosomal RNA", at positions 68 to 1313 of the family's 1533-position model. Lineage: Bacteria; Pseudomonadati; Pseudomonadota; Gammaproteobacteria; Enterobacterales; Enterobacteriaceae. The record is from RNAcentral.